This 1032-nucleotide ribosomal RNA is filed under the name Scinax littoreus. RNAcentral describes it as "partial 16S large subunit ribosomal RNA". It matches the Rfam family "Bacterial large subunit ribosomal RNA", at positions 949 to 2597 of the family's 2925-position model. The record is from RNAcentral. Lineage: Eukaryota; Metazoa; Chordata; Amphibia; Anura; Hylidae.
CCAAUCCUUAAAAAUACCUCUUUGGCUUUAGAGCAAUUCAAAUAAGGUACAGCCUAUUUGAAACAGGGUACAACCUCAACUGACGGGUAAAUUAAACCUUUAACCACAAUCAAGUAGGCCUAAGAGCAGCCACCUUCAUAACAGCGUCAAAGCUUAUUUGUGGUCCACAACUAAUUCCUUAAACACCCAUUAACCCUCUAACAGUAUUGAGUAAUUCUAUGCAAUUAAUAGAACUUAUAAUGUUAAAACUAGUAACAAGAAGCAAGCCUUCUCCUCAAUGUAAGUGUGAAUCAGAAAGGAUAACCCACUGAUAAUUAACGUUCAUGAAUCCACAUUAGUGACUCCACAAGAAAGCCCUAAUAUUUCCCACGUUACCCUGACACAAGAACAUCUCAAGAAAGAUUAAAAGAAAAAGAAGGAACUCGGCAAACCAUUAGCCCCGCCUGUUUACCAAAAACAUCGCCUCUUGAAAAAGUAUAAGAGGUCCCGCCUGCCCAGUGACCCCAGUUCAACGGCCACGGUAUCCUAACCGCGCAAAGGUAGCGUAAUCACUUGUUCUUUAAAUUAGGACUAGUAUGAACGGCACCACGAGGGCUAUCCUGUCUCCUUUUUCUAAUCAGUGAAACUAAUCUCCCCGUGAAGAAGCGGGGAUGUACUUAUAAGACGAGAAGACCCUGUGGAGCUUCAAAUUUUUAUUUCAACUGCCGCACCUAUAAAAAGUUCCGACUAACCUUAAUUUACUAAGCAUUGUGACAAUAAAUUUUAGGUUGGGGCGACCAUGGAGAAUAGAAAAACCUCCACAUUGAAUUAGGCCUCUUAGCCUUGAGCCAAGAGCUACGACUCUAUGUACUAAAACAUUAACAUCCAUUGACCCAAUUAUUUGAGCAACGAACCAAGUUACCCCAGGGAUAACAGCGCAAUCUACUUUAAGAGCCCCUAUCGACAAGUGGGUUUACGACCUCGAUGUUGGAUCAGGGUAUCCCAGUGGUGCAGCCGCUACUAAAGGUUCGUUUGUUCAACGAUUAAAACCCU